Long non-coding RNA from Trichosurus vulpecula (common brushtail), 382 nucleotides. RefSeq lists it as uncharacterized. The transcript has 3 exons. NCBI's taxonomy places the organism in Eukaryota, Metazoa, Chordata, Mammalia, Diprotodontia, Phalangeridae. The record is from RefSeq and is a predicted model, not a curated record.
UUCUUCCCCUAGAUCUAACCCCUACCUUACCUCUGAACCAAGCUCGCUCUGCCUUCCCCACAGCCGAGGUCGCUUUGCCUUCCCCUGAGCCGAGAUCGCUCUGCCUUGUGGACGCCAGCUCUGUGCUUGCAGAUCCCCGGCCAGCUUGCUGCCUAGGAAGAGAAGAGCAAGACCUCUCCCCCUCUGGGAUCCUUCUCCCUGCCCAGCUCAGUCUGCAGAGGACCAAGACCUGGCCCCAGCAGGGAGCCUGGAGCCAGAGGGAAUGGCCCCUGGGAGCAGCAGCCCCCCUCUCCAGGGGUUGGUGACAUUCAAGGACGUGGCUGUGGAUUUCACCCAGGAGGAGUGGGGCCUCUUGGACCAUGCUCAGAAGGAGUUGUACAAG